GUUAUAGGAUCAAGCGACUAAGUGCAUCUGGUGGAUGCCUUGGCGAUGAUAGGCGAAGAAGGACGCGUUAGCCUGCGAAAAGCGAUGGGGAGCUGGCAAAUAAGCUUUGAUCCAUCGAUAUCCGAAUGGGGAAACCCGGCCCUUUUGGGUCACUCAUCACUGAAUACAUAGGUGGUGUAGAGCGAACUCGGCGAACUGAAACAUCUAAGUAGCCGAAGGAAAAGAAAUCAACCGAGAUUCCCAAAGUAGUGGCGAGCGAAAUGGGAAGAGCCUGCAUGUGAUAGAUCAAACUUUAGUGGAACAGUCUGGAAAGUCUGGCGAUAGUGGGUGAUAGCCCCGUACACGAAAGAGAUUGGUUGGUACUAAGCAUGCGAGAAGUAGGGCGGGACACGAGAAAUCCUGUUUGAAGAUGGGGGGACCAUCCUCCAAGGCUAAAUACUCAUCAUCGACCGAUAGUGAACCAGUACCGUGAGGGAAAGGCGAAAAGAACCCCGGGAGGGGAGUGAAAUAGAACCUGAAACCGGAUGCAUACAAACAGUGGGAGCCCUUGCAAAAUGGGGUGACUGCGUACCUUUUGUAUAAUGGGUCAGCGACUUACGUUCAGUAGCGAGCUUAACCGAGUAGGGGAGGCGUAGGGAAACCGAGUCCGAAUAGGGCGCAUAGUUGCUGGGCGUAGACCCGAAACCAAGUGAUCUAUCCAUGGCCAGGAUGAAGCUGCGGUAAUACGCAGUGGAGGUCCGAACCCACUAAUGUUGCAAAAUUAGGGGAUGAGCUGUGGAUAGGGGUGAAAGGCUAAACAAACUUGGAAAUAGCUGGUUCUCCUCGAAAACUAUUUAGGUAGUGCCUCAUGUAUCACUGACGGGGGUAAAGCACUGUUAUGGCUAGGGGGUCAUCGCGACUUACCAAACCAUGGCAAACUCUGAAUACCGUCAAGUGCGAGCAUGGGAGACAGACUGUGGGUGCUAACGUCCAUGGUCAAGAGGGAAACAACCCAGAUCGCCGUCUAAGGUCCCAAAUAAUCAGUUAAGUGGAAAACGAGGUGGGAAGGCAUAGACAGCCAGGAUGUUGGCUUAGAAGCAGCCAUCAUUUAAAGAAAGCGUAAUAGCUCACUGGUCGAGUCGUCCUGCGCGGAAGAUGUAACGGGGCUCAAACUGAUAACCGAAGACGCGAAUUUAGGAGUCAGCUUUCAGGCUUCAGGAGUCAAACGAUGGUUCAACGUGUAGAAGAAUUGGACGUGUUUAAGAAAGCCUAUGUGGUCUCCUUAGAGAUUCAUCGGAUGAGCUUAAGCUUUCCAAAGAUUGAACAAUACGCGUUGGGUGAUCAAAUACGACGAUCGAGUAAAAGCAUUGUUGCAAAUCUUGCAGAAGGAUUUGGCAAACAAGGCUACUUGAAAGGAGAAUUUUUACGCUUCAUUUUUAUUGCCUUAGGCAGUGCAGAUGAAGUGCGAGUUUGGCUACGAUAUAGCAUGGAUUUAGGAUACAUCAGUGAAACAGACUGGCAACGUUGGCGCGAUCAAUAUGAAGAGAUCGCCAAGAUGUUGCAUGGUUUAGGCAAAUCACUGAAACCCGAACCCUGAAAGCUGGCUCCUAAAUGGUAGAGGAGCGUUCCGUAGGCCUGCGAAGGUGUCUUGAGAAGGAUGCUGGAGGUAUCGGAAGUGCGAAUGCUGACAUGAGUAGCGAUAAUGCGGGUGAAAAGCCCGCACACCGAAAACCCAAGGUUUCCUGCGCAACGUUCAUCGGCGCAGGGUGAGUCGGCCCCUAAGGCGAGGCAGAAAUGCGUAGUCGAUGGACAACGGGUUAAUAUUCCCGUACCGAUAUGAAGUGCGAUGGGGGGACGGAGAAAGGUAGGUCAGCCAUCUGUUGGAAUAGGUGGUUUAAGCGAGUAGGCGUGUGGCUUAGGCAAAUCCGGGCUGCUAUAACGCUGAGACGUGACGACGAAGUCUUCGGACUGAAGUGAUUGAUCCUAUGCUUCCAAGAAAAGCCUCUAAGCUUCAGCUUUAUAUUGACCGUACCGCAAACCGACACAGGUGGGUAGGAAGAGAAUUCUAAGGUGCUUGAGAGAACUCAGGAGAAGGAACUCGGCAAAUUAUCACCGUAACUUCGGGAGAAGGUGAGCCCAGAGUAUGUGAAGUUCUUCGCGAAUGGAGCAGAAAUGGGUCGCAGAGAAAUGGGGGCUGCGACUGUUUAUCAAAAACACAGCACUCUGCAAAGUCGAAAGACGACGUAUAGGGUGUGACGCCUGCCCGGUGCUGGAAGAUUAAAUGAUGGGGUGCAAGCUCUUGACUGAAGUCCCAGUAAACGGCGGCCGUAACUAUAACGGUCCUAAGGUAGCGAAAUUCCUUGUCGGGUAAGUUCCGACCCGCACGAAUGGCGUAACGAUGGCCCUACUGUCUCCUCCUGAGACUCAGCGAAGUUGAAAUGUUUGUGAAGAUGCAAUCUCCCCGCUGCUAGACGGAAAGACCCCGUGAACCUUUACUGUAGCUUUGCAUUGGACUUUGAAGUGGUUUGUGUAGGAUAGGUGGGAGGCUAUGAAGCGUGGACGCUAGUCUGCGUGGAGCCGACCUUGAAAUACCACCCUGACCCCUUUGAGGUUCUAACCUUGGUCCGUUAUCCGGAUCGGGGACCGUGCAUGGUAGGCAGUUUGACUGGGGCGGUCUCCUCCCAAAUUGUAACGGAGGAGCUCGAAGGUCGCCUAGGUACGGUCGGACAUCGUACUGAUAGUGUAAUGGCAUAAGGCGGCUUAACUGCGAGACAGACAAGUCGAGCAGGUGCGAAAGCAGGACAUAGUGAUCCGGUGGUUCUGAAUGGAAGGGCCAUCGCUCAACGGAUAAAAGGUACUCCGGGGAUAACAGGCUGAUUCCGCCCAAGAGUUCACAUCGACGGCGGAGUUUGGCACCUCGAUGUCGGCUCAUCACAUCCUGGGGCUGUAGCCGGUCCCAAGGGUAUGGCUGUUCGCCAUUUAAAGUGGUACGUGAGCUGGGUUCAAAACGUCGUGAGACAGUUUGGUCCCUAUCUGCAGUGGGCGUUGGAAAUUUGAGGGGGGCUGCUCCUAGUACGAGAGGACCGGAGUGGACAGAUCUCUGGUGUACCGGUUGUCACGCCAGUGGCAUCGCCGGGUAGCUAAAUCUGGAAGAGAUAAGCGCUGAAAGCAUCUAAGCGCGAAACUCGCCUCAAGAUGAGAUUUCCCCAAGGCUUUAAGCCUUUUAAAGGGUCGUUCGAGACCAGGACGUUGAUAGGUCGGGUGUGGAAGCGCAGUAAUGCGUUAAGCUAACCGAUACUAAUUGCCCGUAAGGCUUGAUCCUAUAACCUGAGACGCGU
Molecule: ribosomal RNA, 3317 nt
Filed under: Iodobacter ciconiae
Lineage: Bacteria; Pseudomonadati; Pseudomonadota; Betaproteobacteria; Neisseriales; Chitinibacteraceae
Description: Iodobacter sp. H11R3 23S ribosomal RNA
Rfam family: Bacterial large subunit ribosomal RNA
Source: RNAcentral